RNAcentral lists this long non-coding RNA (677 nucleotides) under Malus domestica (apple). RNAcentral describes it as "long non-coding RNA (MDOM_LNC004878)". The record is from RNAcentral. Lineage: Eukaryota; Viridiplantae; Streptophyta; Magnoliopsida; Rosales; Rosaceae.
UUGCCUUAAAUUGCAUGCCUAGCUUGCAUGAAAAUAGUGAGCAAUUCUGACAGGAGAACUUCACUAGUUAGAAUGCAUAAGUAAUCUAAACGUGAAAUGCAUGUGCACGUACAAACCUUACUUGUGAUGAGGCAACAUCAUAUGUACUUUGAUCUUCAAUAACUCAAACUUCAAUACUAAGUAUCCUAAAGUCUAAUCUAAAGAACAAAUAUCUAAAGAGAGUAUGUGCAGUACAUAAUUACAAGUUUAGACUUCACAACACUGUCCUAUAGUAGUACAUAAUUACAAGUUUAGACUUCACAACACUGUCCUAUAGUUACAUGUCGAUUUUUGACGUAUCUUGGGAUCGGGGUGUGAUAGUUGGAUCCACCAUUAUUCUUAAAUUGGCCCCUAAACAUAACAUAGGAGAUUGAAUUUCGUUCGAUAAAUAUAACUUCAUAUUUUAGUAUAGGUCAAUGAACAUUUUACUUUCUAGCAUAAGUCAAUUAAAAUAAUUCUCCUCACCAACCAAAGUCAAUAAUUCUUUAAAAAACAAAGGUCAAUGAAAAUAUUUCUUUUUUUUUCUCCAACUAAGUUCAAUACCACUUGCUAAAUUUUCUCUCUUCAUUGAUCUCUACUAUUAAAAUUUCUCUCUUCACAUGACAUCAAAUUUAACGAUAUGAACCGUCUAUUUUUAU